RNAcentral lists this unclassified non-coding RNA (915 nucleotides) under Megachile rotundata (alfalfa leafcutting bee). Its description in RNAcentral is "peptidoglycan-recognition protein SA-like, transcript variant X5". Lineage: Eukaryota; Metazoa; Arthropoda; Insecta; Hymenoptera; Megachilidae. The record is from RNAcentral.
GCUAAUGUACACAAUUCGACAGCAGAUGUAAUUUUCUAUCUAUAAUGUUUUGCUUAGCUUUUAAUUUUUAAAAGAAAAAGUAAAUAAGGCACUGAACGCAAAACCGAGGACAGUCUAAGUUGCAUGAACGUCAAACGUCCCACAAUUAACUUUUGAUUACAAUCGUGCAGUUGUAGUUAUUGAAUACAUUUCUUUAUCUAAUAAAUACUUCCUAUAACUUUUAUAAGUGCGUAUAAUAUAAUCUUUAUUUUAAUUUUUAAAAGGAUGUUUAAAAACAUAUUUACAAUAAUUCUUCUAGUGUACGUUUGUAUCACUCAUGGAGAUUGCAAUUGUCCUAAAAUUAUUAAGCGGAAUCAAUGGAGUACUACAGACUCAAAGAGUGUGAAUUAUUUAGUUAUUCCCCUUCCUUAUGUCAUAAUUCACCAUACAGUUACCCCGGAAUGUAGUACAAAAGCUGAGUGCACUUCUAGAGUCGAAAGUAUUCGUUCUUAUCACAUGGAUGUCCUUGGAUGGCAUGACAUCGGAUACUCAUUUGUAAUCGGUGGUGACGGAAAUAUUUAUGAAGGUACGGGCUGGAAUCGCGAAGGAGCUCAUACGUACGGAUAUAAUAAAAAAUCCGUCGGAAUCGCUUUCAUAGGAAAUUAUCAAGAUAAACAGGCAAGUCAGAAAAUGUUGAACGCGGCACAUCAAUUAAUCGCUUGCGGAAAAUCACAAGGAGUGCUUCGAGAUGAUGUUCGCGUACUCGGAGGCAGACAAGUUAUACAUAUAUAAAGCCGGUCCUGAUCGACGCAUCUCAGUUGCCAAUAUGCUGCGAACAAUGCACUUGCUCCUUCUUCUACUGGUGGUAGUCUUGGUGGCUGCCUCAGAAGGUCCUUCAGAACCUGUUAAUGCUGAGAUUGAUCCAGCUUUGAAUGG